RNAcentral lists this ribosomal RNA (253 nucleotides) under uncultured bacterium. RNAcentral describes it as "partial 16S ribosomal RNA". It matches the Rfam family "Bacterial small subunit ribosomal RNA", at positions 524 to 776 of the family's 1533-position model. The record is from RNAcentral.
UACGGGGGGGGCAAGCGUUGUUCGGAAUUACUGGGCGUAAAGGGCUCGUAGGUGGCCAACUAAGUCAGACGUGAAAUCCCUCGGCUUAACCGGGGAACUGCGUCUGAUACUGGAUGGCUUGAGUUUGGGAGAGGGACGCGGAAUUCCAGGUGUAGCGGUGAAAUGCGUAGAUAUCUGGAGGAACACCGGUGGCGAAGGCGGCGUCCUGGACCAACACUGACACUGAGGAGCGAAAACCAGGGGAGCAAACGGG